This is a long non-coding RNA of Lineus longissimus, 843 nucleotides long. RefSeq lists it as uncharacterized. Lineage: Eukaryota; Metazoa; Nemertea; Pilidiophora; Heteronemertea; Lineidae. The transcript has 3 exons. The record is from RefSeq and is a predicted model, not a curated record.
UUCACCUUGGCGCUCCAUAAAAAGUGUUUUUAUCAUCACUUGGUCAAUUCUUCUGUUUUUUAGCUGAUGUUCCAGUUACCUGACAUCGCCAACCCACCAUGCGUGAUGUUGACGACGACGACUGUCUCUCCUGCCGUGUGAUCGGUAGUGUCGUACCCCUCUGUCUGUCUGGAUAUGUGGUUCACACCUGGUGGAAGAGAGUGGUACCAACUGGGAAGCUCUUCAGCAGCGCUGUUUACAUUACAUUAGCUGGAGGGCUUGCUGGUGUUGGAACAAUGAGGAUGUUCAGCUUUGGACCGUUCGACCCAAGAUCAAAAAGUCGAUGACAAAGAAUAAUGGAGUCUAUGUUAUUUAUGAAAAGGCAGCUGAAAAUUGGACCCCAAUGCAGAGGGCUACAUUCGUAGAAGGACUUUUCAGAUGUGAGGUCAAAACUUUGAUUUGAGCCAAUUGAGGGGUAUGAUGUAAACUGUCACAAACAUGAUUACUGAGGGGGGUGGGGGUCUGCACAGCAGAUAUAACAUGUGUUUGUUUGAAAGGAACGAGUUUACAAUCCCCGAUCACACCCCAAAAAAAGGUCAUCGGUUGACUAACGAAGCACCACUGUUCAAUGGAUUUAUAGUUGAAUGCGAUCAAACUACGUCAUUUCCGAUCGGGGAUUCUAAAGUUUAGCUGUUUGAAAUGUGGUUUGGGCCUAUCUUGUGCUAGGUUGUAACUGUAAAGACCCAGCAAAUAAUGAUAUACCAAUGUGUGUAUGAAAUGUAAAAUGUUCGACUGACUCAAAUGUACUUCAUCAUGUGCUAUAUGACUUUUUGUGUCAAUUAAAUGCCAAAUGGAUGGAAAAAA